UGAACGCUGGCUGCAGGCUUAACACAUGCAAGUCGAGGGGAAACGACGGGGAAGCUUGCUUCCCCGGGCGUCGACCGGCGCACGGGUGAGUAACGCGUAUCCAACCUGCCUCUGACUGAGGGAUAACCCGUCGAAAGUCGGCCUAAUACCUCAUGGUAUCGUCUGCGGGCAUCCAACGACGAUUAAAGAUUUCAUCGGUCAGGGAUGGGGAUGCGUCUGAUUAGCUUGUUGGCGGGGUAACGGCCCACCAAGGCUACGAUCAGUAGGGGUUCUGAGAGGAAGGUCCCCCACAUUGGAACUGAGACACGGUCCAAACUCCUACGGGAGGCAGCAGUGAGGAAGAUUGGUCAAUGGGCGAGAGCCUGAACCAGCCAAGUAGCGUGCAGGAAGACGGCCCUAUGGGUUGUAAACUGCUUUUAUGCGGGGAUAAAGUGAGGGACGUGUCCCUCAUUGCAGGUACCGCAUGAAUAAGGACCGGCUAAUUCCGUG
This 489-nucleotide ribosomal RNA is filed under the name uncultured bacterium. Its description in RNAcentral is "partial 16S ribosomal RNA". It matches the Rfam family "Bacterial small subunit ribosomal RNA", at positions 30 to 507 of the family's 1533-position model. The record is from RNAcentral.